AUGUUGCAGGAAGAGGAGCUGGACCCGUACAAGAGGCGUUCAUUUUACAAGCACGAUCGUGACCAGAACAAGCAUGAUCGCGAUCAGUACAAGCACAAUAUACGGUCCAAAGUGACUGGCAAAUCUGAUGAGGCUUGUCCUGCUACCUCCUCCAAGACAGAUGACAAGGUGGAGUCUCUCAAGGCCUUCUGCAGGGCAAAAGGGUUAUGUUUCACCUGCGGAGACAAAUGGAGCAAAACACACAAGUGCCCUAAUCACGUGCCUCUCCAUGUUAUUGAGGAACUGAUUGAGGUGCUCCAAGCUGAGGAUCCUCCAACAGAAGAGGGCGAGAUGGGUGCAUCCAGUGAUGAUAGUGAGAUCAUGAUGCUUCGCUCGCCGGAGGCUGUGUCCAAGAGCUCGACCAAGCGCACACUCCGGCUGCACGGUUUCAUCGGCAAGCGACACAUAUUAAUCCUAGUGGACUCAGGCAGUGAUUGCUCGUUUGUGAAUGAGCAACUGGUCAAGGAGAUGGAUCUCACCACCGAACCAACGCCUCCAUCGACGUUUGUUAUUGCAGAUGGCAACAGGAUGAGGUGUGAUUCUUUUGUGCCUCAACUGGAAUGGGGAGUGCAAGGACAUUCAUUCACUCAGGAUGUCAAGGUGCUACCGAUGGCUGUUAUGACCUGA
This 666-nucleotide ribosomal RNA is filed under the name Triticum aestivum (bread wheat). Its description in RNAcentral is "partial small subunit ribosomal RNA". Lineage: Eukaryota; Viridiplantae; Streptophyta; Magnoliopsida; Poales; Poaceae. The record is from RNAcentral.